RNAcentral lists this ribosomal RNA (253 nucleotides) under uncultured bacterium. Its description in RNAcentral is "partial 16S ribosomal RNA". It matches the Rfam family "Bacterial small subunit ribosomal RNA", at positions 524 to 776 of the family's 1533-position model. The record is from RNAcentral.
UACGUAGGGUGCGAGCGUUAAUCGGAAUUACUGGGCGUAAAGCGUGCGCAGGCGGUUCGUUAUGUCCGUUGUGAAAGCCCCGGGCUCAACCUGGGAAUGGCAAUGGAAACUGGCGGGCUCGAGUGUGGCAGAGGGGGGUGGAAUUCCGCGUGUAGCAGUGAAAUGCGUAGAGAUGCGGAGGAACACCGAUGGCGAAGGCAGCCCCCUGGGCUAGCACUGACGCUCAGGCACGAAAGCGUGGGGAGCAAACAGG